This 509-nucleotide ribosomal RNA is filed under the name bacterium SNB-CN89. RNAcentral's name for it is "bacterial SSU rRNA". It matches the Rfam family "Bacterial small subunit ribosomal RNA", at positions 37 to 527 of the family's 1533-position model. The record is from RNAcentral.
UGGCGGCGUGCUAAUACAUGCAAGUCGAGCGAAUGGAUUGAGAGCUUGCUCUCAAGAAGUUAGCGGCGGACGGGUGAGUAACACGUGGGUAACCUGCCCAUAAGACUGGGAUAACUCCGGGAAACCGGGGCUAAUACCGGAUAACAUUUUGAACYGCAUGGUUCGAAAUUGAAAGGCGGCUUCGGCUGUCACUUAUGGAUGGACCCGCGUCGCAUUAGCUAGUUGGUGAGGUAACGGCUCACCAAGGCAACGAUGCGUAGCCGACCUGAGAGGGUGAUCGGCCACACUGGGACUGAGACACGGCCCAGACUCCUACGGGAGGCAGCAGUAGGGAAUCUUCCGCAAUGGACGAAAGUCUGACGGAGCAACGCCGCGUGAGUGAUGAAGGCUUUCGGGUCGUAAAACUCUGUUGUUAGGGAAGAACAAGUGCUAGUUGAAUAAGCUGGCACCUUGACGGUACCUAACCAGAAAGCCACGGCUAACUACGUGCCAGCAGCCGCRGUAAUACA